Molecule: long non-coding RNA, 248 nt
Filed under: Capsicum annuum
Lineage: Eukaryota; Viridiplantae; Streptophyta; Magnoliopsida; Solanales; Solanaceae
Description: long non-coding RNA (CANN_LNC000715)
Source: RNAcentral
UUUUUAUUUAUCGAAAAUACUACUAGUUCUAUUGUAUCUUCAGUAUUUUUUAUAUUUUCUAACUUUUGUGUAAUUUUUUCACUUCCUUUUAUCCAAUCAGUUUUCUUUCUUAUUUUAUUAUUAACUCUUUUUGCUCUUACUUUUUGUUUACAUGGUGUUGUAAACCACCAGUCUAUUUUGGUUAUUAUAUGUGGGUAUAAUUUAUCUAAGAAUGACAUUCCUAAAAGUAUAUCUUUUGAUGUUAAUUC